GAUGAACGCUGGCGGCGUGCCUAAUACAUGCAAGUCGAGCGAACAGACGAGGAGCUUGCUCCUCUGACGUUAGCGGCGGACGGGUGAGUAACACGUGGAUAACCUACCUAUAAGACUGGGAUAACUUCGGGAAACCGGAGCUAAUACCGGAUAAUAUAUUGAACCGCAUGGUUCAAUAAUGAAAGACGGUUUUGCUGUCACUUAUAGAUGGAUCCGCGCCGCAUUAGCUAGUUGGUAAGGUAACGGCUUACCAAGGCAACGAUGCGUAGCCGACCUGAGAGGGGGAUCGCCCACAAUGGAACGGAGCAACGGUUCAGCCUAGAGAGGGAGACAGAAGACGGGAAGCGUCAGCAAUGGGAGACAGGCUGCCGGAGCAACGACGCGUGAGUGAAGAGGAUCAUCGAAUCGUAAAACUCGGUUGUUAGUGGGAAAGGAUUGUCUAAGAAAUCGAACCCGUAGUGACGGGACCUAAUCAGAAAGCAACGGCUAAUUACGUG
RNAcentral lists this ribosomal RNA (497 nucleotides) under uncultured bacterium. RNAcentral describes it as "partial 16S ribosomal RNA". It matches the Rfam family "Bacterial small subunit ribosomal RNA", at positions 28 to 507 of the family's 1533-position model. The record is from RNAcentral.